This 322-nucleotide ribosomal RNA is filed under the name uncultured bacterium. Its description in RNAcentral is "bacterial SSU rRNA". It matches the Rfam family "Bacterial small subunit ribosomal RNA", at positions 30 to 339 of the family's 1533-position model. The record is from RNAcentral.
AUUGAACGCUGGCGGCGUGCCUAACACAUGCAAGUCGAACGCGACUUAGGCUUCGGUCUAAGUUGAGUGGCGAACGGGUGAGUAACACGUGGGUGACCUACCUUCGAGUGGGGGAUAACGUCCCGAAAGGGACGCUAAUACCGCAUAACAUCCUGCCUUUGAACAGGUGGAGAUCAAAGCCGGGGAUCGCAAGGCCUGGCGCUUGAUGAGGGGCCCGCGCCUGAUUAGCUAGUUGGNGGGUAAUGGCUCACCAAGGCGACGAUCAGUAUCCGGCCUGAGAGGGCGGACGGACACACUGGGACUGAGACACGGCCCAGACUCC